Molecule: long non-coding RNA, 1017 nt
Organism: Astatotilapia calliptera (eastern happy)
Lineage: Eukaryota; Metazoa; Chordata; Actinopteri; Cichliformes; Cichlidae
Source: Ensembl
CAACAGCAGCACGUUUAAGCUUGAUAAGCUGUUGUUAGAAUUUAUUUAAUAUUACUUUCUACUCGAGGAUCUUUUUCUACGUAGCUGACGCUGGUAACUGUGCAGGGGCGGAUCUAGCAAAGUUUAGCCAGGGGGGCCGAUAGGGCAUUAACAGGGAAAAGGGGGCACAAAGAAAUACUUUUCUUUCUUAUUCUCAUUUAAAAUGUCUAGCUUUUAAUAAAUAAUUAUCUGACACCCAAAGUUUUAAUUUGAUGUAAAAUGAAUAGAAGUCAAUUACUGUAUAUAGUAACUAUUAAGUCUAAUAUAUAUACCCUAGUAAGCUAUAGUACUUUUUCCUUUGGGAAGGUAUCAUCUGUGCAGUCUGCAAUUUUGUUGAAGAAAGAUGUUGAAUCUAUUUAAUAUUUCUUGAAAAAGAAUUGAUUUCUGUGCAUUUUUUUUUCCACACUGCAUCAAAUUAAGGUUGAUUACGUCGAUUAAGCAUCAUGAGGUGGAGCAUGAGGGGUGGUUCCCCAUUUUUUAUUUAUUUAUUUUUGUUGUUGCUGGGAGUUGGAACCCUGUUAGUUAGGUUGGUUAAUAUUUACGCUGAGUACUCUUUAAAAUACCAGAAUAGGGAGGAUGGUGUAGGUUUAAGUUUAUUAGAUUGAUCAGUGUUGCUGAACUAUGAAUUUUUUUUUUUUGCAUACAGGUAUAACAGAAUAGCUUUAGUGUAGUUUUUGUUUUAAACUUGAGUAUGAACUUAUACAAAAUGCAGCAAGAUAUUUAAAAAAACAGUUUUGUUGAUUAAAAAACCCUAUAUCGGAUUCAUAUCGGUAUCGGCAGAUAUCCAAAUUUAUGAUAUCGGUAUCGGUAUCGGACAUAAAAAAAGUGGUAUCGUGACAUCUCUAGUACAGACUGAUAUAAAUCUUUAAUACGGCUGUCAAAACUGAGAGCAUUGUCCUUGUUUCAGACUGUCCCACAACAUUAUCGGCUUUGUGGACCACUUUAUUGAGCCAGUUGGCAUCUGCAAACUGCAACCUG